RNAcentral lists this ribosomal RNA (460 nucleotides) under uncultured bacterium. RNAcentral's name for it is "partial 16S ribosomal RNA". It matches the Rfam family "Bacterial small subunit ribosomal RNA", at positions 338 to 795 of the family's 1533-position model. The record is from RNAcentral.
CCUACGGGAGGCAGCAGUGAGGAAUAUUGGUCAAUGGGCGGGAGCCUGAACCAGCCAAGUCGCGUGAGGGAAGACGGUCCUAUGGAUUGUAAACCUCUUUAGGCGGGGAGCAAUGCCGGGCACGCGUGCCCGGAGGGAGUGUACCCGCAGAAUAAGCAUGGGCUGACUCCGUGCCAGCAGCCGCGGUAAUACGGAGGUUGCGAGCGUUAUCGGGAUUUAUUGGGUUUAAGGGGUGCGAAGGCGGAUGUUUAAGUCAGCGGUAAAUUGUCCGGGCCAACCCCGGGCCGGCCGUUGAAACUGGGGAUCUUGAGUGCGCGAGAAGUAUGCGGAAUGCGUGGUGUAGCGGUGAAAUGCAUAGAUAUCACGCAGAACUCCGAUUGCGAAGGCAGCAUACCGGCGCCCGACUGACGCUGAGGCACGAAAGCGUGGGGAUCGAACAGGAUUAGAUACCCCUGUAGUC